UACAGAGGGUGCGAGCGUUGUUCGGAAUUAUUGGGCGUAAAGGGCGCGUAGGCGGUGCGGUAAGUCACCUGUGAAACCUCUGGGCUUAACUCAGAGCCUGCAGGCGAAACUACCGUGCUGGAGUGUGGGAGAGGUGCGUGGAAUUCCCGGUGUAGCGGUGAAAUGCGUAGAUAUCAGGAGGAACACCGGCGGCGAAGGCGGCCCUCUGGAUCGUUGCUGACGCUGAGGCGCGAAAGCUAGGGUAGCAAACGGG
This 253-nucleotide ribosomal RNA is filed under the name uncultured bacterium. RNAcentral's name for it is "partial 16S ribosomal RNA". It matches the Rfam family "Bacterial small subunit ribosomal RNA", at positions 524 to 776 of the family's 1533-position model. The record is from RNAcentral.